This is a long non-coding RNA of Helianthus annuus (common sunflower), 1145 nucleotides long. RefSeq lists it as uncharacterized. The transcript has 3 exons. Lineage: Eukaryota; Viridiplantae; Streptophyta; Magnoliopsida; Asterales; Asteraceae. The record is from RefSeq and is a predicted model, not a curated record.
GGGAGAGACGGAUCUAAACAAACUCCGCCCGCCUCCGCUAGCGGCGAUUGAUGGUCGUUUCUAGCCGGAUGGGUUUUACGAACAUGAUGGGUAAUGGUUACUCCCCGGUUUCUUGCCGGCGGCUUCAUCGGCUAACGUUACGGCUACGUCGCCGGAGAUCUCUACAACAACGACGUUGAAGAGAAAACUAUUGGUGGUGAUUCAUUUGCUUUGUAGUGAAGACUCCACGUUUAUACUCUGGUCGUCUCUCCGUUUCGUCUACGACCUCCGGAGACUGUGGGUGUGAGAUAGGAGGCUAUGGGGAUUUUUGGCAGCCGGAACAAUGGAGAUCGAUGAUGUUGGUUGAUAUAUGGUAGCAGUGGUAAUGGGGAAUGGUGGUGUUGUUUUAAUGAUGUUUGCGGUAGUGAUGCAUAUGGUGGUGAAUAAGUGAGCGAUGAUGAGUCAUUAUAGUGGUUGUUAAGGUGAGCAGGGUAAUUCAUGGAGUGCAAUGUGACCAAUUUGUAUGAUUUAGACAACCACAUCUUACUUUUUACCUAAUUUUCGUCACAUUCAAAAAGUGAAAAAAAGAAAGCCGAUGAACGAUCUUUUCGCACUUUCAUAUUAUCGCCAAAGCAAUUAACUUUCACGCUGAAAAUUACACUAUGAUGACAACCUGGACGAAGAGGAGGUAUACUAGGACGAUGAUGAGAGGGAUUCUAGACAACUAUUGCAAUGGGGAAGAAGGUUGUUAAGGUGGCUGCUUCUGUAGAGUUGUAUAAUAAGUCUAAAGAAGUUUUAGGGUAAGGUUUAAUACUUUAUUUAGUCAAAAUAUUGUAAAUUAUUAGAGUUUAGAUUAGCUUAAAUGUUUUUUUAAUUGUUUUAAAUUUGAGUAAAAGAAGUAGUUUUAGUGAAUAAGUUGAUAGUUGAACUUCUAAAUUUUGGUGAUAAAAAAGAUAUCGCUACCAUGGUUUUAAAAAACGGUUGAGGAGUGAGGCGCACGCCACGAGGCGAAACGCCCAAAAAAUGGUUUUGAGGCGUGGCUCAGGGGGUUUCUAAUGUACGUGCACCUCAGAGGGGCUGAGGCACUAAAAAGGUUGCGCCUCAUGGGUUUUUGAUAAUUGUUUUUGAUGUUUUGUAUUUUUUUUGUCAAACAGUUAUUGGAUUUA